Molecule: non-coding RNA, 158 nt
Filed under: Alphaproteobacteria bacterium
Lineage: Bacteria; Pseudomonadati; Pseudomonadota; Alphaproteobacteria
Description: 6S RNA
Rfam family: 6S / SsrS RNA
About the family: E. coli 6S RNA was the first non coding RNA to be sequenced, but its function was unknown until recently. It consists of 184 nucleotides that fold into an extended hairpin structure with a large single-stranded internal bulge.
Source: RNAcentral
CGGGUACUGUCCUGCGCGUGAUUUAUCUUACUCCCCGGGGCGAUAAUCAUUCCGAAGGGAGCUGUCUCUGUCCGGAUCGUGGUCCGGUUACAUGGCGCCCACCUGUAAACACAGGUUCCGGAGGAUAAUAUAUAAAUCACGGCUGCGACGGUCCCGCC